This 253-nucleotide ribosomal RNA is filed under the name uncultured bacterium. RNAcentral describes it as "partial 16S ribosomal RNA". It matches the Rfam family "Bacterial small subunit ribosomal RNA", at positions 524 to 776 of the family's 1533-position model. The record is from RNAcentral.
UACGUAGGGUGCGAGCGUUGCCCGGAUUUAUUGGGCGUAAAGGGCGCGUAGGCGGCUCGGCACGUCCGUUGUGAAAUCGCCCGGCUCAACUGGGCGGGGUCAGCGGAUACGGUCGAGCUUGAGCAAGCUAGGGGGCAAUGGAAUUCCCGGUGUAGUGGUGGAAUGCGUAGAUAUCGGGAGGAACACCAAUUGCGAAGGCAGCUCGCUGGGACGUUACUGACGCUGAGACGCGAAAGCGUGGGGAGCAAACAGG